GNAUUUAUUGGGCGUAAAGGGAGCGCAGGCGGUCAGGAAANUCUGGAGUAAAAGGCUAUGGCUCAACCAUAGUGUGCUCUGGAAACUNUCUGACUUGAGUGCAGAAGGGGAGAGUGGAAUUCCAUGUGUAGCGGUGAAAUGCGUAGAUAUAUGGAGGAACACCAGUGGCGAAAGCGGCUCUCUGGUCUGUCACUGACGCUGAGGCUCGAAAGCGUGGGUAGCGAACAGGAUUAGAUACCCUGGUAGUCCACGCCGUAAACGAUGAGUGCUAGGUGUUAGGCCCUUUCCGGGGCUUAGUGCCGGAGCUAACGCAAUAAGCACUCCGCCUGGGGAGUACGACCGCAAGGUUGAAACUCAAAGGAAUUGACGGGGGCCCGCACAAGCGGUGGAGCAUGUGGUUUAAUUCGAAGCAACGCGAAGAACCUUACCAGGUCUUGACAUCCCGAUGCUAUUCUUAGAGAUAGGAAGUUACUUCGGUACAUCGGAGACAGGUGGUGCAUGGUUGUCGUCAGCUCGUGUCGUGAGAUGUUGGGUUAAGUCCCGCAACGAGCGCAACCCUUAUUGUUAGUUGCCAUCAUUAAGUUGGGCACUCUAGCGAGACUGCCGGUAAUAAACCGGAGGAAGGUGGGGAUGACGUCAAAUCAUCAUGCCCCUUAUGACCUGGGCUACACACGUGCUACAGUGGUCGGUACAACGAGUUGCGAGCCGGUGACGGCAAGCUAAUCUCUGAAAGCCGAUCUCAGUUCGGAUUGGAGGCUGCAACUCGCCUCCAUGAAGUCGGAAUCGCUAGUAAUCGCGGAUCAGCACGCCGCGGUGAAUACGUUCCCGGGCCUUGUACACACCGCCCGUCACACCACGAGAGUUUGUAACACCCGAAGUC
This 880-nucleotide ribosomal RNA is filed under the name uncultured bacterium. Its description in RNAcentral is "bacterial SSU rRNA". It matches the Rfam family "Bacterial small subunit ribosomal RNA", at positions 547 to 1428 of the family's 1533-position model. The record is from RNAcentral.